This 465-nucleotide ribosomal RNA is filed under the name uncultured bacterium. RNAcentral describes it as "partial 16S ribosomal RNA". It matches the Rfam family "Bacterial small subunit ribosomal RNA", at positions 28 to 507 of the family's 1533-position model. The record is from RNAcentral.
GACGAACGCUGGCGGCGUGCUUAACACAUGCAAGUCGAACGGAAAGGCCCUGCUUGCCGGGUACUCGAGUGGCGAACGGGUGAGUAACACGUGGGUGAUCUGCCCUGCACUUCGGGAUAAGCCUGGGAAACUGGGUCUAAUACCGGAUAGGAGCCAUUUUUAGUGUGAUGGUUGGAAAGUUUUUUCGGUGUAGGAUGAGCUCGCGGCCUAUCAGCUUGUUGGUGGGGUAAUGGCCUACCAAGGCGGCGACGGGUAGCCGGCCUGAGAGGGUGGACGGCCACAUUGGGACUGAGAUACGGCCCAGACUCCUACGGGAGGCAGCAGUGGGGAAUAUUGCACAAUGGGCGCAAGCCUGAUGCAGCGACGCCGCGUGGGGGAGGACGGCCUUCGGGUUGUAAACGCCUUUCGCUAGGGACGAAGCUUUUUGUGACGGUACCUAGAGAAGAAGCACCGGCUAACUACGUG